Pomacea canaliculata is the source of this 877-nucleotide long non-coding RNA. RefSeq lists it as uncharacterized. The record is from RefSeq and is a predicted model, not a curated record. The transcript is spliced from 3 exons. Lineage: Eukaryota; Metazoa; Mollusca; Gastropoda; Architaenioglossa; Ampullariidae.
CAUAGUCUCACAUUGCUGAUGAUGUUAAGAGAUUUGGACUCUUACUCCGCAUUUCCAUUUGAGAACUAUUUAGGCCAGCUUAAAUGACUUGCUCGAACACCAAACUGUCCACUGCGGCAGGUAAUUAAAAGAAUAUCUGAAAAUGUGCAGAUGGGCCUUUCCCUUAGACAGCAUAAGGAUUCUGUUCCCAGUGGUGAACCAAAAAAAACCUCAUAGAGGUGGCCCAUUAAAGAUUCCACCAAAGUCUGUUUAGCCGAUGCAAGCUUCAUUAUUAAAGCUAAAAUGCCAGAUUCCUCAUGGCCCAUGCAUCCAAUUCACCUGCACAAGUCAUUAAGGAUGCACAGCUAACAGACUGAAGGAGAGAAUGAUGCAGAGAAAUCACUAUGUGAUGACCAUUCAGUUAUGCAGCAGUGUCCACCAUCAUUGCCAUACUCUUUGCCGCCAGUGGUUGUAAGCCCUACGUGUCCCCAAGUGGCAGAUAUCAGCAAAGCAGCGUUUCACCUUUGCCAUCACGCCUCCAGUGCCCCUUGUCUGGUGUUCAUCCUGCCAGCAUAGGGAUCCACAACCCCUUGGAAGAUAAACACGAUAGACUAGAGAAAGCUGUACAACCUACAACCUAUAUUGUCUCUUCAGGAUGAGAAGAAAACUGAUGUGAAAGACAUGAAAAAUAGGCUUGUGCGGAUGGAGCGCCAAACCCAAGGAAAGGAGGUGACACGGGGGAAUCAGCCAGAGUAGUUAGUGCACCUCUUCGCUCGAAGUGAAUAAUUCAACAAUGGAUGGGCAUGUGCUGACCAUCACUUUGGGCUGUGCCAACAGACAUACUAUCAUCUGGAGCUCGUCGUCCCCACUAGGUGACAGUUAUUUUGCAAAUGAAAGA